Molecule: non-coding RNA, 1778 nt
Organism: Microcebus murinus (gray mouse lemur)
Lineage: Eukaryota; Metazoa; Chordata; Mammalia; Primates; Cheirogaleidae
Source: RefSeq, a predicted model, not a curated record
CCCACCCUGCCGCAAGGGCGCGGGGCGCCAAGGGCCGGCGGGCCUUUAUGUGCCUCCACUGCCCAGCCCCGAGAGGCCGGUCGUCGCUUUGAUCCGCACUUUUCAGAUGGAUAGCCAAUUGUUCCAAUACCAAAUAUGGAUAAAUCCUGUUUUAAAUGCCAACUCGAUCAUAUGAACCCAAAGAUAAAGGGAAGAUCCUUGAAGCUUUCAGAGACUGAAAAAGUCACACAACGAGGAUCAAGAAGCAGAACGGCUCUGGGCGGCUUAGCAUCAACUCGGAACGCCACAUGCCAGUAGAGAACUGCCUCCGAAUCCUGAGGGGAGAUGGUUUCCAACCCAGAUUUGUACAGCCAGCCAAACUGUCAAUCACUUAUCCAAAAACUGAACUCCCAUAUGCAGUUUCCAAGGAAGCUACUGGCAUAUAUACUACAACAAAAUGAAGGGAGUAAACCAAGAAACAAGAUGACUUAGUAUCUAAGAAACAAGAAACCCACACAGGAGAGAGGUGAAGGGAAUUCCCGGGAUAAUGGUGAGGAGAGAUUUCAGGACUUCUAAUGUAAGGACAGAUAGGAGAGCACCUGGGCCAGGUAGAAGCAGGGAGACGGGGGCUCCAAGGAAAAACAUAGAAGUGAUAGGUCACUAGAUGUGCUUAACUAAUUGCUAGAAAUUUUAGAACUCUGUUGGCAUGUUUGUGGGAAGAAUUAGUAAUGUUAUAUCAAAAGCUAAUUAAAUAAACUGAGGUAAUCACUCCAGGGAAAACAAAGUUGUACAAGACAGCAGCUGUAACCAUAAUAUAGUCCUUUGCUUGGCUACGAAUAAUAUACAUGUAGAUAUGAUUCUGGAAAAGUGGAGUGUUGAUUUAGCAACUGUGACGGGACUAUAUUGGAAGGAAACGUGUGUGUUUGUGUGCAGUAGCUGAUGGAGAACCAGCAGUCCUCCACAGGAGGAAGCCAAUAAAUAAUAUCUAAAAAAACACCCGUAAAGAAUGAUAUUUAGAAAUAUAAAAGUAAAUGUCAGAAGGAACAGCUAAAAGACUUGAAGUUGUUCCCUCUGAGGAGUGGCAAGACUGCUGCUUCCCGUUAUCAGCCUCAUGGUACCAUUUGACUUGUUAAAUCUGAUACAUAAAAAUUUUUGAUAAAAAUAGAAAUUGAAUUUUAAAGUGUUCUUGCAUGUAUUACCUAAAGUCACCUUUUGUACCACUCCUCUUGCUCUUAGCAGAAUGAGCUGAACAAAAUUUAGACAGAUCCAGGUGCCAGUCACAGCUCUGCAAAUUACUAGCAGUGUGAUGCUAAGACAGUUGCUUGGUCUCUCUGAGCCUCCAUUGUUUUCACCUAGAAAGUAGGGAUAACAUUAGUACAUACGUCAUAGGGUUACUGAAAGGAUUAAAUGAGAUCAUGCCUGGGCCUGCCACAUAGAAGCAUCCAAUAAAGGAUGUGUGCAUCAUGGUGGCUAUUGUUUUCAUUUCACUUCAUUCGAUUCCUGAGUGAUUAACCGUGGGCAACUUCUCCAAGCCUCAUCUUUGAAAUUGGCAUAAAAUAUUUUAAGCCUCUGAGGAGAUAAAUGGGAUAAUGAGUGUGGAAUAGCUGGCACCUAAUCUCUGUAAAACUCAGAUUUCUCAUUUGUAAAAUGGGAAAAUCCUUUUAGGGUUCUGGGAGCAUUAAAUGAGAUGACAUAGUGAAAGACAUAGCCUGGUACCAAGGACUCACUUAUUUACUCAAAAAAAGCUAGCUAUGCAUAAGACUAAGAACUUUUCUUUUUGAAAUCAUAUUAAUAAAAGU